GGAAGAGCAGUUGGAUGCUGGAGCUGGCAGGACCGGCAUCUCCCUCCGGAUCAGCUAGAAACUUGACAGGGUUCGGUGUGUGGCAGAGCAGGACAAAGAGAGAAGGGGAGAGGGAAGAGUUUUUGCCCAUCAGAGCCUUCUCCUGAUGACGGACGCAAACACCAACCUCUGAGCACAGCGUGUGUAGGUGCAAACCCAGCCCGAUGUACUCACCUGCCGUUGGGACCUUCCAUCCUCUCAUCUGCUCUGCCCCAAAUUCAGGAACGUGGUGAAGGCUCACACCAGCCUCUGCUCAUCGCCUGCCCUGAAUCCCUUUGGUGAAACUCGUUGGCAUCGGAGGAACUGGGUCUGGAGGAGCUCAGCCCUGCUGGUGUCGGUGUGGGGCUCGGAGGUGCGGUGGGUGGCAGAGCUCCUCUGGAGCCCCCCAGCCCCUCCUCAGCAGGAGGCAGGCUUCCUUUCUCUGCUCUGCGCACUGUCCAAUCCCAAGGCUG
This 491-nucleotide long non-coding RNA is filed under the name Gallus gallus (chicken). RNAcentral's name for it is "long non-coding RNA NONGGAT003097". Lineage: Eukaryota; Metazoa; Chordata; Aves; Galliformes; Phasianidae. The record is from RNAcentral.